This 452-nucleotide ribosomal RNA is filed under the name uncultured bacterium. RNAcentral describes it as "bacterial SSU rRNA". It matches the Rfam family "Bacterial small subunit ribosomal RNA", at positions 339 to 794 of the family's 1533-position model. The record is from RNAcentral.
UUACGGGAGGCAGCAGUGGGGAAUUUUGCGCAAUGGACGAAAGUCUGACGCAGCAACGCCGCGUGGAGGAUGAAGGCCUUCGGGUCGUAAACUCCUGUCGAUGGGGACGAAAGCCUAGCAAUAGGAUUGACUGUACCCGUUGAGGAAGCCACGGCUAACUCCGUGCCAGCAGCCGCGGUAAUACGGAGGUGGCAAGCGUUGUUCGGAAUUACUGGGCGUAAAGGGCGCGUAGGCGGCUUAACAAGUCAGAUGUGAAAGCCCCGGGCUUAACUCGGGAACUGCAUCUGAAACUGUAGAGCUUGAGUUCUGGAGGGGGUAGUGGAAUUCCCAGUGUAGCGGUGAAAUGCGUAGAUAUUGGGAGGAACACCUGCGGCGAAGGCGGCUACCUGGACAGAAACUGACGCUGAGGCGCGAAAGCUAGGGGAGCGAACGGGAUUAGAUACCCCGGUAGC